UCCAGCACUUAGCUCCGUGCCUCCAGUCAGCUGUUCUUCCGUCGUUAUCCAACACCACUUGCGGUGUGCUUGGCCAAUUUUGCCCAAAAACAAAAAGAAGGCAGCAACCAACAAGUGGCGCCAAGAAUCACAGCGAAGAAGAAUAGGAAAACAGGCACUUACCUGCUGUUCCUUCCCCCCCUUCGGCCUAGGGCUCGACAGCGUCCCACGGGAUUUCGGCCAGUACUAUUGGCCAGGUGGCCGCUUCUCUGCUUGCGGACUUGCGUUCCGCGCAGGCUAACUUCCGACGUUUUCCACUGAAUUAUACGGAACGAUUUAAAAACACGACCGCACUCACUAGAAUAGAGCAGCGGCGGCCCAGAGAACGAGAUAUUUGUUUUAAAAAUAAUUUCCCAUUUGAGCGUAAAUUAUGAAAUUUUACUAAAAGGAAAUGGUACUCGUACGGUACGAGUACGGUACUCUGUGCUGCAGCACAGAGAAUCAAGUGAAUAUUCGAUUGCCAUCAACUUUAAAAGGAGAAAGAGAGAGAGGGUGAAAUCUAAAUCGGUUACUUUAAAAAUAUCUCUAUUCUCAAGAUGACAUUUAGCUGGGGAAUGUUUCGGUUCCAAGUUUAAUGACCAACACGAGCCAUCCAUCGCCGCAGCAGCAGAUCGCAUCCCAAAGAAAAAAGAGCACACAGAAAGAGCGGACAGAAGACAGAAGAAGCAGAGGAAAUAUCAACGAACUUUGAAGAUCCAUCCACUCUCUGAACUUUGGCUGCCGCUGUGGAACUGUGGAAUGCGCUGUCAUCUACUCUACUCGUAAACUUGUUUGGCAAAAACCCAUCGAGUGGGUCAGCUUUUACACAUUGUUUGAGCUCCUCUGUCUCCACUGUUUUUCCUCUACUUUUUAUUGACAUUUCGCUGGAUCGAACGAACCGAACCGAGCCGAACGCAACCCAACCUCCACGAAACGAAAAUAAUAAUAACAAA
Molecule: long non-coding RNA, 971 nt
Organism: Drosophila miranda
Lineage: Eukaryota; Metazoa; Arthropoda; Insecta; Diptera; Drosophilidae
Exons: 2
Source: RefSeq, a predicted model, not a curated record